Molecule: long non-coding RNA, 8518 nt
Filed under: Sus scrofa (pig)
Lineage: Eukaryota; Metazoa; Chordata; Mammalia; Artiodactyla; Suidae
Description: lncRNA (ENSSSCG00030007821.1)
Source: RNAcentral
GCACUCCAGUUGACUUUGCGGAGAUAUGGAAGGCGGCUUUGGCUCGGAUUUCGGGAGCUCCGGCAGCGGGAAGCUGGACCCGGGGCUUAUCAUGGAGCAGGUGAAAGUGCAGAUCGCCGUGGCCAACGCGCAGGAGCUGCUGCAGAGGAUGACGGACAAGUGCUUCCGGAAGUGCAUCGGGAAGCCGGGGGGCUCCUUGGACAAUUCGGAGCAGAAGUGCAUCGCCAUGUGCAUGGACCGCUACAUGGACGCCUGGAACACCGUGUCCCGUGCCUACAACUCUCGGCUGCAGCGAGAACGAGCCAACAUGUGAUCGCGACGCGCCAGCAGCCCACUUCCCACCCCACCCCACUCCCAGUUCCAUCUCCAUAAAUGCUGUUUGUGAGGCGGGGGCCAACGUGUGCGUGCUGCCUGCCAGAAGUUUAUGAGGACCAGACUGGUGCUGGGACAGUUGGUAUUCUGUCUCUCCGUGCCCCGUUCGCGCACACGUGCCGGCGAGUGUAACUUGCGUCUGGGGGGCCCCUGGCCCGGGUGGUGCCUUCCCUAGUGCCCCUGUUACCGAAUUGUGUCAUAUGGACCCUGUUGGGGGCCGGCUUAGGCUCUAUGUCUCCUAGGGGGUGUUCUUUUUCUGUUCCGUGGAGCCUGAAGCUGAGAUGGACACAGCACAAGCUUUAUUCAGCAGUUAAAGUAUGGAGACGCGUGAACAAACGAACUCACAGAUCAGCUUCUUAGCUGGCGAGAGGGGCUUAAUUUUAACAAGGAGGCCUGUGUGUAUGUCUACGCGGGAAGGGGCUGAGCUUUUUCCGAGGGAGUGGGGUGCCACCUCUUUUUUAUCUUUUUUGGUCUUUAAUGUCUGGUCGAGGCUGCGGAUGCGUGUGUUAUUUAAUAAGCUAAUGUAGUAAAAUCCACACAUAAUGAGACAGCGUUUGUUGGAAGUCAGAUUUGCCACCAUUUUCCUCCCAGCAGGGUUUCGUGGUUUUGUUUUUGUGUGUAUGUGUCUUCGUGUUCUAUGCAUUAGGAUUAACUGAAAGUUAAUCUUUAAAGAUUUCUGUUCACUCCUACUAAAAGGUGGGGUGGUGGUUGGCAGGUUUUGAGCAGGGACCUCCUUCCUGCAAAAGGUCAGGGUGGAUAGGUUGUGAGGAAAGGGCUGGAGCAGCUCUGGUGACAAACUACUCCCUUCCUUAUUAUUGCUCAUUCCUUUUUUUUUUUCUUCUUUUUUUUUUUUUUUUUUUAAUGGCUGCAGGUGAGGCCUAUGGAAGUUCCUGGGCCAGGGAUUGAAUUCAAACCAAAGGACUUCCCUUGUGGCUCACAACAUAACUACAUGGUGUUGUUUCUACAGUGGCUGUGGUUCUGUCCCUGGCUCGGCAAUUUCCAUAUGCUGCAGGAGUGGCCAGUUGUUAUAAAAAAAACAAAAAGAAGAAGAAGAAGAAUGAAUCUGAGCCAAAGCUAUGACUUACGUUACACCUGUGGCAAUUCAGGAUCCUUUAACCUGCUGUGCCAGGCCAGAAACUGGAGCCGCUGCAGCCAGAUUCUUAAUCUACUGUGCCACAGUGAAAACUCCCUGCCCCUCAUUCUUUUUUUUUUUAAUUUUUAAAUUUUAUUUAUUUAUUUAUUUAUUUAUUUUUGUCUUUUUGCUAUUUCGUGGGCCGCUCUCGCGGCAUAUGGAGGUUCCCAGGCUAGAGGUCGAAUCGGAGCUAUAGCUGCCAGCCUACGCUGGAGCCACAGCAACGCAGGAUCCGAGCCGAGUCUGCGACCUACACCACAGCUCACGGCAAUGCCGGAUCCUUUAACCCACUGAGCAAGGGCAGGGAUCGAACCCGCAACCUCAUGGUUCCUAGUCGGAUUCGUUAACCACUGCGCCACGACGGGAACUCCUUUGCCCCUCAUUCUUGAGGGUGAAAGUGUGUCUUCUGAGGCUGCUUCCUGUUGAACUUGGGGAAUAGUUUUUUUCUGUAGCAGAGCUGUUCCUGACUUGCCUAAAAUAUAUCUGAUUGUCACCAGGCAGCAGUCCCAGUGCUUAUACCCCCCUGUAUGAGUAUCAGCUGAAGCUUGAGGACUCUGAACCAUUUACUAAAAAAGCUGACAAGGCUGUUCGAGAGGCCAGGCCUGAAGAUGAUCAGGAGAUUAAUAGCAGUUAGUGCAUCAAGAUGAGGAAGAUACCAGGUUUUAUUGGGAAGGCCCUGUUUGACUAUAUUCCAGAUGGAGCUUGGGUUAGGACCUUGUGUGUUAUAUCUUUGUAACCUCUGAGCUUGCUCUUGUAUCUCUUUUAUGUUUAUCUCAGUCUGAUGAGAGUGUGGGGCAAGUUUUAUUGGUAACUGCAGAGACUCCCCCCUUGCUCAGCCAGGAGAUAGUCAAGGACAGUAUUUGCUCCUGAGUCCAGAGAAGUAGGGGAUCCUUGGAAGGCAUCCCCCAUGUUUUUAGACAAGUUCUCAAGGGCCCAUGUGAGAUUUUGUGCCGUGAUUUCGUAGUACGUAAAACCUCCCAGGGGGCUGCCAGGCCCAGAGCAAUCCCUACUCCUUCCAGGAUGAGUUUUAUUGCCUUUUUGUCUCAGGCCUGGGUGAUGUUAUGAAUGGUUAUACCUAGGUUCCUAAAACUUAGCUAGUGUAGCAUGCAUUUUGCACAAACUGGGCAUCAUCUAAGCAAGGGUAGGCUAGGUUUGUUCUGAUAGGGCAAGUGGUUUAUCCCUGGGCUCCAAAGGAACAGGUAGGUACCCAGAGGGAGCCCAUGCCUGGUGCACUUAUGAGGAGUUGAACCACCUUCAUAAGAGGCUGGCCCAAGAGGCGGUGGCCUUGCAGUGUGGGAAGAGAAGCCCACCUGCAUAUUGGGGGUCACUGGGGGAAUUCUUGACUGGUGACUUUUCCCCAGAAAUUUGGGAGAGCCAUAGACUAAACAUCAGACAUCGUCUCUUCCCAGCAGGUGCAUCUCCCAUCUGGUCCCUGUGUAUAUUCACGGAGUCAGAGUAGAGGGCACCAAUGGGUGAGAUUUCCACACGAGUCAAUCCCAGGGCGCUUAAAUUGUGAGGUAAUGGGAGAAACAUUGAUUGGAGUUCACAGCAGCUCCAGGGUGUUACUGUCGAUUCUUCCCUUUGGGGGGGUGGCCGUUCAUGGGGCGGUGGAAGUGGGAGAUCAGUUAGAGUGGUGGCACUUGAGAGUGAGUGCUUUGUGUUUGUUAGCGAUGCUAACGUGAGGGGUGAGGGCCAAGCAGGCAACUGUGUUGCGGUGGGACGUGGACUUCAAGAGGGCUAAAUUUGGCAGAGCUGUGAGCCAAGGUGAGAGUGAGGUCGUCAUUCUCAGGGGUAAGAUGUAAUACCUUUCAUCCAUAGGCGUCACUGUGGAUGUGGGUGACGGACCAGCCCUGGGAUAGAUUUUGCCCAUGGGCAAGAAAUUUGCGAUUCCAUUAAGUUCCCAUUCUGCAUGGAUAGUUGUCUGAAAAUAGAGCAGAGAAUAUAAGGAAGAGUUGUCCAUAAUGGCUCUUCAUCCUGUUUCCUGUGUUAACAUCCAGCAUGGACAGUCAAGAUGUUUGCCAGAGAAGGGCAUUUGGCAGAACACCAGAAGUCAAGUAAGGCAAUAGUAAUGGCAAGGCCAAAUACUCAGCCUGUCCACCGCAUUACUUAGUUGGUGGUAAGUUUGUCCUUUUGAAGAGGAACUUAAGGUCUGUGACACGUUCACAAGGGUAACGAGUGGGUGGCCCAGUCACUUCUUCCUCAGACAUAGUGAUGUCUUCCCUCUGGUAGGAUGGGUCCUGUAAUUUGAGGGCAGAAUGAGUUGACUAGAUAAGGUCCUCUCCACUUGGGGUCUCACUAACUGGUCUUGUGGGUUUCCAGCCUUCCAAGUUUUCAAAUAAACCCAGUCCCCGGGGAGAAAGGAUGUAUGGCCAUGCCAGGAGGGAAGGUGGCUCGAUUGUCUUGCGGUGGAAAGCUGGGAUUAUUUCCCUCUCUGUAAGGCAUGUUUCUGUCGAGCUGUGUCCCUAAGGUUGAUCUUGGAGCUGGUCCUUCAGGAACGUGCCUCUCGUGUACGGGCUCGUAUGGACUCAGACUGAGCUUUCCUCGAGGGGUGAGUCCCAUUCUCGCAAGUGCAGUGGGGAGAAGGGGGAUCCAGGGUUGAUGAGUGUCUUGACAGAGUUUGGCUCAGUUUCUCUGGAGGGUUUGACUUAUUCUACUUUUCUUGAGGACUGUGGUUUCCGAAUGGGACGUAAACCCCAUUUAAUUCUUAGAGCUCUAGGGACUCCCUCGGUAGUCUGAAACAGAGGGAGGCCAUUGUCGCUCUGGAUGGACUUAGCCCAAACCCAGGAUUUGUCCCUUGAGCAGCGCCAUCGAGACAGACCUCCAGGGCAGUGUUGGUUCGAUGGGGAUGACCUCCAUCCAGCCUGAGAACAUGUCGGUCAAAACCCUGCAGAUAGCUAAGAUUUCCUUGUGGCCAGGAUAUUACUGUAAAAUCAGUUUGCCAGGCAGUUCCCUGGUGGUGCAGUGGGUUGAGGAUCUGGUGCUAUCUCUGCUGUGGUGGAGGUUUGAUCCCUGGUCUUGAAACUUCUACAUGCCCACCCCCCCCAAAUCAGUGUAUCUGUCUUGACCUGGGUAUGUGGCUCUAUGCUGGGUGUUGGUCAUUCCCUUGACCUUUCUGGGGGUGGGGGGUGCAUGUGGUGAGUGGUGGGCUUAUUCCAGAGGCGGACAGGCAAGCUUUAACCACCUGUUGAAGGAGGCAUGAGAAACGGGGCCGUCAUGGACGUGAUGAGCAAUCAGUAUGGGGGCCCCCUGCCUGUGAUUGUGCUCUGGCGGGCGUCCCGGCUGGCGCAGUGCAGUGGCCAAUGGGAGGGGCAGCUGCCCAUGGUCAUAACCACCCACCCUGGGAAUCCUGGGCUUUUAAAAUAGCCCCAUCUGGGGAGUUCCCGUGGUGGUGCAAUGGAAAUGAAUCCAACGAAUAUCCAUGAAGAUGCAGGUUCGAUCUGUGGCCUUGCUUAGUGGGGUAAGGAAGGAUCUGGCGUUGCCAUGAGCUGCGGGGUAGGUCAUAGGGCUCAGGUCCCGUUUGGCUGUGGCAUAGGCCGGCGGCCACAGCUCUGAUUCGACCCCUAUGCUGGGAACUUCCAUGUGGCCCGGACAUGGCCCUAAAAAGCCAAAAAAAAAAAGCUCCACCUCAAAGCCCUUCCCCUUUUUUCUGGGGUGUAGGUGGGAGUGUAGGACUUCAGUUCUGGGGGAACUGGUAGGAAGAGAGAAGGAUCUUAGAGAAGCCUGACUUGGACUUGGAGGGUUUGACCCGUGUGCCCCCUUUCUUUAUGAGAAGCUGGAGCUAGUGGGGGUCAGGGACUGUCCAGAGGUUAAUUUGUCAGCCUCAUUGAGGACCCCCUCCCUUAAGCAUGGGGUCCUCCUUUCGUGCUUUGGACCAGUUUUAGAAAAAUAGGCUGCAGCCUGAGUCAGAGGUCCCCGAUUGUGUAAACGCUCAGGGCAGCUCCUCCUUUCUCAUGCAUGUAUGUGUGGACGGGAUGGCUCAGGUCAGAGGAGCUAACUUGGGGGUCUCAUGAGAUGGUUUUUCAGUUCCAGAAAUGCCUGGUCACAACUGGGGGUCCCCUGGAAGGGGUCAAGUUCCUCCCCUUUUCAGUGUUCUCACAAGGGCUUAGCGAUUAAGCCACAGUUAGGGAUCCCUGUGCAGCAGGACCCGACCAUCCUGGGAACCCCAGAGCUGCUUCCUUGUACUAGAGGCGCCAUCUGGCAACUCUUUCCUCUCCCUGUACAGGGCCCUUUGCCCCUUUUCUGUAAUGAACCCUAAGUGUUCUACCUGCCAGAGGGAGGUGUGCGCUUUCUCCUCUGCAGCUGUAUCCUCCCUCAGCCGGUGAUUUAAGACCUUAACUGCAUCGUGGUGAGGAAGCUCUUUGGUGGGGCUGGUGGUGAAAUGUCAUCCACUGUUGAAUAGCUCCCUGUUCUAACUUGAGGUGACCAACGUCCUUGGCUCAGCAGUAACAAACCCGACGAGUAUCUGGAUGUGGGUUCACUCCCUGGCCUCGCUCAGUGGGUUGAGGAUCCAGUGUUGCCGUGAGCUGUGGUAUAGUUCGAGGAUGCAGCUCGGAUCUGGCGUUGCUGUGGCUGUGGUGUAGCCUGGCAGCUAUAGCUCGGAUUAGACCCCUAGCCUGGGAACCUCCAUGUGCUUGCUGUGGGUGCGGCCCUAAAAAAUAUAAAAAAAAAAAAAACCAUAGGGAGGUUUUAAAUCCUUGGAGAUACAGAAACAUUCAGCACAAUUGUUAUUUUCCCAUGCUGUCAGGGUUUCUGCCACCCAAGCGCAAAAAUGUAUUGAGAUUCUGGAGCUAGGGGCACACGCAAGAGGGCCUCUAACCCGGAGUACCAGGUCCUCUCAGGGCGUAGGUAGAGCGGUGAUGUGUUGGGCACCACAGUGUGAAUCUCCUCUGUAGCUUCAUUUACAGCCCAGAGGUCCUGAGCUUCCCAUUUGGCUCCUUUACCAGCAGAAGAGGAGUGUUGCAAGGGGGCCAGCGGGGUCUAAGGAGCUCUUGCUUGAGGAGGCUUUGUGUUGCUAAGGCUUCUUUGCUUAAGAGGUAUUGUGUUUUUAUUUGGGUGAUUGUGACUGGGUCACAGCCUGACUACGAGGGGCGGUGCCCUUCUGACUCUGCCCAUGGUGUCCCGGGUCCCUACUGGGGACCCUCAGGGUCAAUCAGGCUGUUAUUCUUGGCAGAGGGCAGUCGCACUUGGGCUGCAAAAUGGAAGGGAGCUUUGGGUGUUGCGAUGGUAAGGCGUUGGUCUCUGAGGUGAAUUGUAGCUCCCAGUUUGUAUAGUGCAUCUUUUCCUUUGAGGGGAGCUGAGCGGCGUUCUGGUACGUGUAAGAGUGAGACAGCAUUCUACCUUCUGCAUCCUACUCCAGGGGCUCUAUAAAGUUAUAUCCCUGCGGCCUCCCUUCUGCUCGCUUUAUCUUAGAGUUAUCCUUCGUCUUUUUGCUUUGUCGGUGUUCAAGGCUGAGUAGGUGGACACUGUGUCCACUAGAAAGUCAACCUUGGGGAGUUCCCGUCGUGGCGCAGUGGUUAACGAAUCCGACUAGGAAUCAUGAGGUUGCGGGUUCGGUCCCUGCCCUUGCUCAGUGGGUUAACGAACGAUCUGGCGUUGCCGUGAGCUGUGGUGUAGGUUGCAGACGCGGCUCGGAUCCCGCGUUGCUGUGGCUCUGGCGUAGGCCGGUGGCUACAGCUCCGAUUCAACCCCUAGCCUGGGAACCUCCAUAUGCCGCAGGAGCGGCCCAAGAAAUAGCAACAACAACAACAACAACAAAAAAAAAGACAAAAAAAAAAAAAAAAGAAAGUCAACCUUUUUUUUGGAGUUCCUGUCACGGCACAGUGGAAAUGAAUCCAACUAGGAACCAUGAAGUUGUGGGUUCGAUCCCUGGCCUCCUCGCUCAGUGGGUUAAGAAUCCGGUGUUGCCAUGACCUGUGGUGUAGGGCGCAGAUGCAGCUCAGAUCUGGCGUGGCUGUGGCUGUGGUGUUGGCCAGCAGCUGUAGCUCCGAUUCGACCCCUAGCCUGGGAACCUCCAUAUGCUGUGGUGUGGCUCUAAGGAAAAAAAGAAAGUCAACCUUUUUUGGUUUUUCUCCUCCUUUUUUGGCUGCAUGGCCAUAGAGCAUACUCCAUAGAGUUCUCAGGCCAGAGAUCAGAUCUGUGCCACACUUGGGACCUAAGCCACAGCUGUGGCAGCAGUGUGCCUGGCUGGGGAUUGAACCUGCAUCCUGCCGCUGCAGAGACAUCACCGAUCCAAUUGCACCGCAGCAGGAACUCCAGAGAGUUAGCCUUUUUACCCCCCACAGUCAGGUUCAGCCGAGGCUCCUCCAGGUUCUCUGCUUCUUUCACGUGUAUGACCAGUGAGCAUGAGCCAGGACACUGUGUCCCUUAGCUCCCUUCCAGUACCAUUGGGGCACCCCUGUCCAGGGGCCCUCCUGCAGGCGGUAUGGAUGCUGAUUGGCUUGGAGCCCUUCUCUCCACUGUGGGCAUGGUCUUUGAAACCCAGCGCAGUUCGUCCAUGUCACUGGGUUGGGGGUGCAUCAUCACUGGAAGUUGGUUGAUCCUGAAUCCCUGAAGCCAGAACACUGACAGUUCUUUCUCUUCAUCUAUCCUCCCUGGCAUCCACCUCCAGAUCCCUAACAUCCAAAAUGCAGACCCCACCUCUGGCACGGCGGGCCCUCCCUCCAACUUCUGUCACUUUCUCCUGUUGUCUGGGUGCUCUGGGAAGUGAAAUGGAGCUUAAAGUGGCCCUCCCUUCCACUGCCCCCAGGUUCACAUUUGUGUACACGGGAAGGCCGAGGGGUUUUCCUCCCGCCCCUGGAUACCACCCUGAGCCCUAUUCCAGUUGAUAGGUUUCUUCCCAGCCAACUGAAUGCCCUUAGGAAUCAAAUCCUGUGGAGUUCCCUGGUGGCAUAGUGGGUUAAGAAUCUGGUGUUGUCAUUGCUGUGGCUCUGGUUACAGCUGUGGCAUGAGUUUGAUCCCUGGCCUGGGAACUUUCCCAUGCCAUGGGGAAGGCCAAAAAAAAAAAAAAAAAAAAAA